RNAcentral lists this ribosomal RNA (816 nucleotides) under uncultured bacterium. Its description in RNAcentral is "bacterial SSU rRNA". It matches the Rfam family "Bacterial small subunit ribosomal RNA", at positions 8 to 796 of the family's 1533-position model. The record is from RNAcentral.
AGAGUUUGAUCCUGGCUCAGAAUGAACGCUGGCGGCGUGCUUAACACACGCAAGUCGCACGAGAACUCUUCUGCUUGCAGAAGAUAGUAAAGUGGCGCACGGGUGAGUAACGCGUGGGUAAUCUGCCUUCAAAUCGGGGAUAACAUUGCGAAAGUGAUGCUAAUACCGGAUAAUGUCCAAUAAGCUCUGGCUUAUAGGAUUAAAGGUGGCCUCUAUAUAUAAGCUUCCGUUUGAAGAUGAGCCCGCGUACCAUUAGCCAGUUGGUAGGGUAAUGGCCUACCAAAGCGACGAUGGUUAGCUGGUCUGAGAGGAUGAUCAGCCACACUGGAACUGACACACGGUCCAGACUCCUACGGGAGGCAGCAGUGAGGAAUUUUGCGCAAUGGGGGAAACCCUGACGCAGCAACGCCGCGUGAGUGAUGAAGGCCUUCGGGUCGUAAAGCUCUGUCAAGUGGGAAAAACUUGCAUAAAAUGAAUAUGGUUAUGCAUUGACGGUACCACUGAAGGAAGCACCGGCUAACUCCGUGCCAGCAGCCGCGGUAAUACGGGGGGUGCAAGCGUUAUUCGGAUUUAUUGGGCGUAAAGAGCGCGUAGGCGGUUCUUCAAGUCAGGUGUGAAAGCCCGGGGCUUAACCUCGGAAGUGCAUUUGAUACUAGAGAACUUGAGUAUGGGAGAGGGAAGUGGAAUUCCUGGUGUAGAGGUGAAAUUCGUAGAUAUCAGGAGGAACACCGGUGGCGAAGGCGACUUCCUGGACCAAUACUGACGCUGAGGCGCGAAGGCGUGGGGAGCAAACAGGAUUAGAUACCCUGGUAGUCC